This 425-nucleotide ribosomal RNA is filed under the name uncultured bacterium. RNAcentral describes it as "partial 16S ribosomal RNA". It matches the Rfam family "Bacterial small subunit ribosomal RNA", at positions 354 to 796 of the family's 1533-position model. The record is from RNAcentral.
GUGGGGAAUCUUGCGCAAUGGGCGAAAGCCUGACGCAGCCAUGCCGCGUGGAUGAUGAAGGUCUUAGGAUUGUAAAAUCCUUUCACCGGUGAAGAUAAUGACUGUAGCCGGAGAAGAAGCCCCGGCUAACUUCGUGCCAGCAGCCGCGGUAAUACGAAGGGGGCUAGCGUUGCUCGGAUUUACUGGGCGUAAAGGGCGCGUAGGCGGACAGUUUAGUCAGAGGUGAAAGCCCAGGGCUCAACCUUGGAAUUGCCUUUGAUACUGGCUGUCUUGAGUUUGGGAGAGGUGAGUGGAACUCCGAGUGUAGAGGUGAAAUUCGUAGAUAUUCGGAAGAACACCAGUGGCGAAGGCGACUCACUGGCCCAAUACUGACGCUGAGGCGCGAAAGCGUGGGGAGCAAACAGGAUUAGAAACCCUGGUAGUCC